GUCUACAGCCAAAACACAUUGAAUGUGCCCAAUCUCAUCUGAUCUCAGAAACUAAGCAGGAUUGGACCUGAUUAGUACUUGGAUGAGAGACCACUUGUGAAGACUGGGUGCUGCAGGCU
This is a ribosomal RNA of Gorilla gorilla gorilla (western lowland gorilla), 119 nucleotides long. The record is from Ensembl. Lineage: Eukaryota; Metazoa; Chordata; Mammalia; Primates; Hominidae.